Molecule: ribosomal RNA, 465 nt
Filed under: Vreelandella stevensii
Lineage: Bacteria; Pseudomonadati; Pseudomonadota; Gammaproteobacteria; Oceanospirillales; Halomonadaceae
Description: partial 16S ribosomal RNA
Rfam family: Bacterial small subunit ribosomal RNA
Source: RNAcentral
CCUACGGGGGGCAGCAGUGGGGAAUAUUGGACAAUGGGCGAAAGCCUGAUCCAGCCAUGCCGCGUGUGUGAAGAAGGCCUUCGGGUUGUAAAGCACUUUCAGUGGGGAAGAAAGCCUUGGGGCUAAUACCCUCGAGGAAGGACAUCACCCACAGAAGAAGCACCGGCUAACUCCGUGCCAGCAGCCGCGGUAAUACGGAGGGUGCGAGCGUUAAUCGGAAUUACUGGGCGUAAAGCGCGCGUAGGCGGUCUGAUAAGCCGGUUGUGAAAGCCCCGGGCUCAACCUGGGAACGGCAUCCGGAACUGUCAGGCUAGAGUGUAGGAGAGGAAGGUAGAAUUCCCGGUGUAGCGGUGAAAUGCGUAGAGAUCGGGAGGAAUACCAGUGGCGAAGGCGGCCUUCUGGACUGACACUGACGCUGAGGUGCGAAAGCGUGGGUAGCAAACAGGAUUAGAUACCCCUGUAGUC